Python bivittatus (Burmese python) is the source of this 141-nucleotide small nucleolar RNA. RefSeq annotates it as small nucleolar RNA SNORA57. The record is from RefSeq and is a predicted model, not a curated record. Lineage: Eukaryota; Metazoa; Chordata; Lepidosauria; Squamata; Pythonidae.
CCUCCCAUUCUUGGCAGGGCUGGGUUUUCCCGUACCCGGCUCUGUAAUGUGCGGAGGGAGAGGAAACUUGACCCAGCGUCAUGUCUUCGGUGCCAGCGGCUUUCCCGUCUGCUGGUUCUAUCCUCAAGCGCUGGGACAAAG